Long non-coding RNA from Triticum aestivum (bread wheat), 247 nucleotides. RefSeq lists it as uncharacterized. The record is from RefSeq and is a predicted model, not a curated record. The transcript has 4 exons. Lineage: Eukaryota; Viridiplantae; Streptophyta; Magnoliopsida; Poales; Poaceae.
CUUCAGGUUGUAGUUGAGACUUCAUUUAUGCCGAGUAUGCUGUAGCAGCUGAACAUCGUCAUCGCUCAAAUGUGUAGGAGUGCCUGCUUUCCAUGAUGUACCGAUGUCAUUGAUGUGCCUUUUGUGAUGAGAAAGGAACUAGGUAUUGCAGAUGAUGUUACGGUGGUCAUUUUCUACAUUUGAGGACAGAUUGCCAAGAUAAAUAGAGGAUGCAUGGAUAAGUUGUUUUUGGCAAGGCGGAGAAUGG